GGAGUGCUGACACAUGACAAAUGUUGUAUACCACCUACAUAUUAUUUGUGUAGUAAACUUGCGACGCUGAUGUGUCUCCUAUGUGUUACUAAAUAACGACUUGAAAUUAUAUUUAUUAAUGGAGAAAAAUUUAGGUUAAAUCAACGAGAAAAAAUGUGGGACCAAAUCGAAUUUAAGCUUUUUUAUUUUCUGUAAUCCAAACUAAAGGUUGUGAAAAUUGGAUUCAAAUUUCAAUUCAAUUCUAAAAAGUAUAAAUUUAGGGUAAUUUCAUGCUUAAUCCUUAAAUUUUAUUAUUAUUACUAUUUGGAUCUCUAUAUUAUCUUAGCUGGGCAAUGGACAUGGCUAACA
Molecule: unclassified non-coding RNA, 348 nt
Filed under: Hevea brasiliensis (rubber tree)
Lineage: Eukaryota; Viridiplantae; Streptophyta; Magnoliopsida; Malpighiales; Euphorbiaceae
Source: RNAcentral